CACGUAGGGCGCAAGCGUUGUCCGGAAUUAUUGGGCGUAAAGAGCUCGUAGGCGGACUGUCACGUCCGCUGUGAAAAGCUAGGGCUUAACCCUGGCCUUGCAGUGGAUACGGGCAGACUAGAGGUAGGUAGGGGAGAAUGGAAUUCCCGGCGUAGCGGUGAAAUGCGUAGAUAUCUGGAGGAACACCGGUGGCGAAGGCGGCAUCCUGGACCAACACUGACGCUGAGUGAGCGAAAGCCAGGGGAGCAAACGGG
This 254-nucleotide ribosomal RNA is filed under the name uncultured bacterium. RNAcentral describes it as "partial 16S ribosomal RNA". It matches the Rfam family "Bacterial small subunit ribosomal RNA", at positions 524 to 776 of the family's 1533-position model. The record is from RNAcentral.